RNAcentral lists this long non-coding RNA (482 nucleotides) under Pongo abelii (Sumatran orangutan). RNAcentral's name for it is "lincRNA". The record is from RNAcentral. Lineage: Eukaryota; Metazoa; Chordata; Mammalia; Primates; Hominidae.
AGGCAGAGGAAACUGUUUGAGGUAAAGAAAACAAAAAACACAAAACCCAGCAUGGUGCGUACUGGAGAUGAGAAAAUGGAGGUACCAAAAAGUGGGCUCUGAACCGUGGAGCCUGGCUCCGGAGCCCUUGUAUUUGACUACUGGGAUCCACCGUUAUUCUCACAGCCACGUUUCCCACAGGGCUGCUUUGUAUGGCUUCUUAGAAAAGUCCUGCCUGUCUCCACCAUCCAGACUAUGAUGUCCGUGCGGUCGGAGGAAAGGGAGAAUGUCUCACAUACAGAAAAUGCUUGAUCAACAUUGACGGAAUGAUAAAUGGGCUUCAGCAGCACCUGUCCUGAGUCAGCACCUCACAGAGGUUUUGCCAGCGCCAGCCACAUCUCCAGCAUGAAGGUGAUUGUCUGUGUCCAGUCCAAUUCCUGCCUUAAUAAGAAUCACUGCUGCAAGGGAGAGGGCUGCCAAGGCCCUGCCUCCCUCCAACCCCA